GAUGAACGCUAGCGGCAGGCCUAACACAUGCAAGUCGAGGGGCAUCACGGAUUGCUUGCAAUCUGGUGGCGACCGGCGCACGGGUGCGUAACGCGUAUACAACCUACCUUUUGGAGGGGAAUAGCCCAGAGAAAUUUGGAUUAAUACCCCAUAGUAUAUAGGAAUCUCCUGAUUUUUAUAUUAAACAUUUAUGGCCAUUAGAUGGGUAUGCGUCCUAUUGGCUAGUUGGUGUGGUAACGGCACACCAAGGCUACGAUAGGUAGGGGUCCUGAGAGGGAGAUCCCCACACUGGUACUGAGACACGGACCAGACUCCUACGGGAGGCAGCAGUGAGGAAUAUUGGACAAUGGGCGAGAGCCUGAUCCAGCCAUGCCGCGUGCAGGAAGACUGCCCUAUGGGUUGUAAACUGCUUUUACAGAGGAAGAACCACCCCCACGUGUGGGGGUUUGACGGUACUCUGCGAAUAAGGAUCGGCUAACUCCGUG
Molecule: ribosomal RNA, 485 nt
Filed under: uncultured bacterium
Lineage: Bacteria
Description: bacterial SSU rRNA
Rfam family: Bacterial small subunit ribosomal RNA
Source: RNAcentral